This is a non-coding RNA of Mugil cephalus (flathead mullet), 382 nucleotides long. Lineage: Eukaryota; Metazoa; Chordata; Actinopteri; Mugiliformes; Mugilidae. The record is from the annotation of a RefSeq genome assembly.
CAACAUGGAUACAAGCAUCAUUAAACAAGGCGUCCUCAGGGUGUUCCUCUCUUUGCUGUGCAUUUCAGGUUUCAUUGAUGGGAGUGAUGUGACACAGACCUCCAUACUGUGGAAAAACAAGGGUGACAAUGCAACAAUACACUGCAACCACAACAAGGGCAGCAGCUAUUUCCAGAUGUACUGGUACAGACAGCUGCCUGGAGAAACUAUGAAGCGAAUUGUGUUCACUACGACUGCCAGUAAAGAUCAUGACUUUGGAGAAUUCAGCAAAGAGAAAUUCUCAGCCACCAAGGAUGUUGCUGAGAGUGGGACGUUCACAGUGAAGAAUCUGGAGCCAGGAGAUAAAGGCUUGUAUUUCUGUGCUGUCAGAGAGACACAGUGA